AUUAUACCGCGAAACUGCGAAUGGCUCAUUAAAUCAGUUAUCGUUUAUUUGAUAGUACCUUACUACAUGGAUAACCGUGGUAAUUCUAGAGCUAAUACAUGCUAAAAAUCCCGACUUCGGAAGGGAUGUAUUUAUUAGAUUAAAAACCAAUGCCCCUCGGGGCUCUCUGGUGAUUCAUAAUAACUUCUCGAAUCGCACGGCCUUGCGCCGGCGAUGGUUCAUUCAAAUUUCUGCCCUAUCAACUUUCGACGGCUGGGUCUUGGCCAGCCGUGGUGACAACGGGUAACGGGGAAUUAGGGUUUGAUUCCGGAGAAGGAGCCUGAGAAACGGCUACUACAUCCAAGGAAGGCAGCAGGCGCGCAAAUUACCCAAUCCCGACUCGGGGAGGUAGUGACAAUAAAUACUGAUACAGGGCUCUUUUGGGUCUUGUAAUUGGAAUGAGUACAAUUUAAAUCCCUUAACGAGGAACAAUUGGAGGGCAAGUCUGGUGCCAGCAGCCGCGGUAAUUCCAGCUCCAAUAGCGUAUAUUAAAGUUGUUGAGGUUAAAAAGCUCGUAGUUGAACCUUGGGCCCGGCCGGCCGGUCUCCCUCACCGGAUGCCACUGGCUCGGCUGGGCCUUUCCUUCUGGAGAACCCCAUGCCCUUCACUGGGUGUGGCGGGGAACCAGGACUUUUACUCUGAACAAAUUAGAUCGCUUAAAGAAGGCCUAUGCUCGAAUAUAUUAGCAUGGAAUAAUAGAAUAGGACGUGUGGUUCUAUUUUGUUGGUUUCUAGGACCGCCGUAAUGAUUAAUAGGGACAGUCGGGGGCAUCAGUAUUCAAUUGUCAGAGGUGAAAUUCUUGGAUUUAUUGAAGACUAACUACUGCGAAAGCAUUUGCCAAGGAUGUUUUCAUUAAUCAGGAACGAAAGUUAGGGGAUCGAAGACGAUCAGAUACCGUCGUAGUCUUAACCAUAAACUAUGCCGAUUAGGGAUCGGACGGUGUUAUUUUUUGACCCGUUCGGCACCUUACGAUAAAUCAAAAUGUUUGG
RNAcentral lists this ribosomal RNA (1028 nucleotides) under Cladorrhinum globisporum. RNAcentral describes it as "SSU rRNA". It matches the Rfam family "Eukaryotic small subunit ribosomal RNA", at positions 73 to 1110 of the family's 1831-position model. The record is from RNAcentral. Lineage: Eukaryota; Fungi; Ascomycota; Sordariomycetes; Sordariales; Podosporaceae.